ACUGUUGCUGCUGAGUGUCCUUAUCUCUACUCUUGUCCUUGGACAAAGAAAAUACAGAAUGAUAAACAAAACCUACAGGGUCAUAUGAAAUCUAAAUGAGCCAGGCACGUUGGACGUUGCAGGAAGAUCUAUCCAAGCAGCAUUUUUAUUCUGCUCUCUUUAGACACAUGUACAUUCAAAACCACCACAGAGAACCUGUAACUGAAACCAUUUGAAAAUCAACCAAAAAAAACCUCAGGUGCAGGAGCCCUUGACAUAUAGCUUUCAG
This is a non-coding RNA of Paralichthys olivaceus (Japanese flounder), 268 nucleotides long. NCBI's taxonomy places the organism in Eukaryota, Metazoa, Chordata, Actinopteri, Pleuronectiformes, Paralichthyidae. The record is from RefSeq and is a predicted model, not a curated record.